This is a long non-coding RNA of Bos taurus (domestic cattle), 427 nucleotides long. The record is from Ensembl. NCBI's taxonomy places the organism in Eukaryota, Metazoa, Chordata, Mammalia, Artiodactyla, Bovidae.
CAGAGUUGAGGAGCUGCUGGGAAUGGUGUACAUGGCAGGCGGCCUGAAACAGGGCCAGCAUCUGUCCUAGAUAAGGCGGCGGGUGGCCUACUUGAGCCGGUGCUGGAGCUCCCCGGUGGGCACCUCUCCCAGGCUCUGGCCUGUAAGGUCCUUGUGAUGCACAGACAAGAAACUGAGGCACAGAACCAGGAAGAUAAAUUCCAAGUCCAUAGGCCAGAGCUAGAAUCCCAUCCAGGGAUCCUGAGAAGUUUCCUGGAAAGCAGGCUCCUCAACUUUCUGUGUGAUGGACAUAUGACAACUGAGGGGAAAUGUCCCUCCCAGGGCUCAAUUUCUCCAGCUGUAAAAUGGGACUGCGAAAUGGGCCAACCUGCAGGCAGGCUAUCAGGCAGAAGCAACGAGAGCUUAUUAAACUGCUUCGAAAGUAAAA